This is a long non-coding RNA of Salvelinus namaycush (lake trout), 2506 nucleotides long. RefSeq lists it as uncharacterized. The transcript is spliced from 2 exons. The record is from RefSeq and is a predicted model, not a curated record. NCBI's taxonomy places the organism in Eukaryota, Metazoa, Chordata, Actinopteri, Salmoniformes, Salmonidae.
AAACAUUAGAUCCCGAAAGACUGCAACAAGUGUCUUUUGGAGAGGCAUUCGCUGACUGGGUCAGACUUAUUUACUCUCCACUAGAGCAUCUUGAUCUUUAACAUACUGCUGUACUUCUAACAAUCUCCUGACAGAGUAGGACUGCCUAUUUUGUACAAAUCAGUUGGGUCUAGAACCACAAUAGUGGGUAUGAUAAGAUUUAGCCUCAAAGAUAAUAACGAAUCAGUGUCAUCAUUAUCAAUCACCUGAAUAAACAUCUGCAGCAGGACUCGGAUAGUAGAGAAUUAUUACAUUGCCAAUUGAACCUCUGGGGGGUUUGGAUUGGAAAUAAGGAAGCUGGAAUGAAACUGGGCGGGAUUGGAGAUAUGGAUAGACCCAAUAGUACAUUUCUGAACUAAAUCAGUGGUGAUCCGGGGGAACAUACUUUUUUUGCACACUAUUGGUUAGAGACUGUAAGUAAUGCAUUUCACUGUAAGGUGAACGGCACACGUGACAAAGAAACUUUGAUUUGAUUUGAACCAGAAAUAAGUCAAUCCUGCAGUAUGAUUUAUGCAGAUUAGAAAAACAUCUGUAAUCUCUAUUGGCAGGAUUGAAAAGUCUCCACACAUCCGUUAGACCAAUCUCAUCUAACAUUUGGUGUAUAGCUUUUGACCUAGAGCCUAUCUAUAAUGUAGUAGGCUUUGGUUGCUUGUCAAGAUUCACACCAAUCACCACCAGUAUCAGCUAUACUCCAAAACCAGAUUUGUUAAUCUGGUGAAAAAGAGACGAAGAAUGAAGAGAGCCAUGUAGGGAAAUCUAGCAGCCUCAUAAUAAUCAACUUUUAAAUUAUUUUAUUUAUUUAACCUUUAUUUAAGUAGGCAAGUCAGUUUUAAGAACAAAGUCUUAUUUACAAUGACGGACUACACCCGGACGAACCCGGACGACGCUGGGCCAAUUGUGCGCCGCCCUAUGGGACACCCAAUCACGGCCGGUUGUGAUACAGCCUGGAUAGAAUACCUUUUUAAGAGGCAAAGUGUCUAGGAUCAGGUCCCCCGUGUUAUUAAUUAGGACGUUAAGGGGCAACACUGAUCCUAGAUCAGCACUUUUACUCUGAGACACUUUGUGAAUACAGGCUCUGAUUAAGUUCUAGAUUCCCCUAGAUGUAUUUAUUAUUUUGUUCUGGUCUUUUAGUUUUGGCUAGAUGGGGUACAGCUACGGACAGAAGUGACUUUAGCUCAAUUUCUAAAGUUGUCCCCGAAGCGACUGGACCAUGCAACUUUUGGUCAGUCGUUGUACUCCAUCUAGGUAAAAACCUGGCAUUUUUCCCCCCCUGUGUCACUCUUCUUACUUGCUGUGCUUCCUGUUUCAGACUCACACUUCCAGGCCUUCACGGGCUGAUCUGAUUGGCCGUUGCCCGUCUGACCCCUGACCUCUGAGCCUGAGGUCAAAGGUCAAAUCUCCCAAUGGUGCGCCUUGUCUCUCAGCCCGCCCCCUUCGGCUUACUGUUGUCUCUCAGCCCGCCCCCUUCGGCUUACUGUUGUCUCUCAGCCCCCCCCCCCCUCGGCGUACUGUACCAGCUGAACACUUUUCAAAGUUUUAUUUGAAAAAGAAAAGUAAACUGACAAAAUCAAAUGUAUGUACUAUGUAUGUGUGAGUGUGUGUGUAUAUAGCUAAAUUAAAUGAAAGACUCUUUGUAAAGAAUUUUCAACCAUAAGAUACUCAUCCACAUUAAAUAAUUAGUAUUUUAACGUGUCUUACAAGAAAAGUGUCCUGGAAAGCAUUUUAAACCACGACUACAUUUCAAUGUGUUUCAAUAUCAUGGAAAUGUAUGAUAAUAAAGUAAUCUAUAUAUGAAUUGAAAGCUGAUCAAUUUGCCACACACCUUGAAUGUUAGCCUGGUUGUACCAGACUGAAACUUUACACUGAGCACCCCCUCACAUCAACCCCCCCCAAAAAACAUGAAGGUAUUAUAUAUGAAAACACAUGAUUAUUCCUCCACUUCCAGCUACAUCUGGUCUCCCAUACAGGGACCAACCAGGACCGACCCUGCUUAGCUUCAGAGGUCAACCAGCAGUGGGAUGCAGGGUGGUAUGUUGCUGGAGUGAAUGUGACAAAACUUGCAACUGGAGAAAAGCCAGCGUAAGCAAAGGCCAGGGUAACAUUACCCAAGGCCAGGGUAACAUAACCCAAGGCCAGGGUAACAUAACCCAAGGCCAGGGUAACAUUACCCAAGGCCAGGGUAACAUUACCCAAGGCCAGGGUAACGUUACCAAAGGUCAUGGUAACAUUACCCAAGGCCAUGGUAACAUUACCCAAGGCCAGGGUAACAUUACCCAAGACCAGGGUAACAUUAUCCAAGACCAGGGUCACAUGACCAAAGACCAGGGUCACAUGACCAAAGACCAGGGUCACAUGACCAAAGACCAGGGUCACAUGACCAAAGAGAGGGAAAAUUGCAGGAAAGAGGGAGGUGUUUUAUUUAAAAAGAGGGAUGCGUUCUUAUAAAUAAAGUAUCGCUGAAAACUUU